This 326-nucleotide ribosomal RNA is filed under the name uncultured eukaryote. Its description in RNAcentral is "partial 18S ribosomal RNA". It matches the Rfam family "Eukaryotic small subunit ribosomal RNA", at positions 1470 to 1796 of the family's 1831-position model. The record is from RNAcentral.
CCCUUAGAUGUUCUGGGCUGCACGCGCGCUACACUGAAGGACUCAACGUGCUUGUCUCCUUGGCCGUCAGGUCUGGGCAACCCGUUGAACCUCCUUCGUGCUAGGGAUUGGGGCUUGUAAUUAUUCCCCAUGAACGAGGAAUUCCCAGUAAGCGCGAGUCAUCAUCUCGCGUUGAUUACGUCCCUGCCCUUUGUACACACCGCCCGUCGCUACUACCGAUUGAGUGAUCCGGUGAAUCAUUCGGACUGAUGCAGUGCUCAGCUUCUGGACGCUGCGUUGGAAAGUUUCAUGAACCUUAUCACUUAGAGGAAGGAGAAGUCGUAACA